AAUCAACGCUGGCGGCGUGCCUCAGACAUGCAAGUCGAACGCGAAAGUUCCCUUCGGGGGAGCGAGUAGAGUGGCGCACGGGUGAGUAACACGUGGAUAAUUUACCUUCGGGUGGGGAAUAACAACCGGAAACGGUUGCUAAUACCGCAUAAUGCAGCGGCGUCUAUGAUGACAGUUGUUAAAGCGGGGGAUCGCAAGACCUCGCGCCUGAAGAGAAGUCCGCGGCAGAUUAGCUAGUUGGUAGGGUAAUGGCCUACCAAGGCGACGAUCUGUAGCCGGCCUGAGAGGGCGGUCGGCCACACUGACACUGACAUACGGGUCA
RNAcentral lists this ribosomal RNA (322 nucleotides) under uncultured bacterium. RNAcentral's name for it is "bacterial SSU rRNA". It matches the Rfam family "Bacterial small subunit ribosomal RNA", at positions 32 to 333 of the family's 1533-position model. The record is from RNAcentral.